Molecule: ribosomal RNA, 253 nt
Filed under: uncultured bacterium
Lineage: Bacteria
Description: partial 16S ribosomal RNA
Rfam family: Bacterial small subunit ribosomal RNA
Source: RNAcentral
UACGUAGGGGGCAAGCGUUGUCCGGAAUUAUUGGGCGUAAAGCGCGCGCAGGCGGUUUUCUAAGUUAGGUGUGAAAGCCCACGGCUCAACCGUGGAGGGCCACCUAAAACUGGGAGACUUGAGUGCAGGAGAGGAGAGCGGAAUUCCACGUGUAGCGGUGAAAUGCGUAGAGAUGUGGAGGAACACCCGUGGCGAAGGCGGCUCUCUGGCCUGUAACUGACGCUGAGGCGCGAAAGCGCGGGGAGCGAGCAGG